AGAACUGUUCUUCACCGGACUCGAAGCCUGUCUUGUGGUCAACUCUUCUCUGCACCUCAAGUCCGCCAUCAUACAUGGCAAGCCAACUGGACAAACUGGUUACAUUGGAAAAGCCGUCCAAAUGAAGAAUGAAGGAAGUUCUGUGCUGACAUUGUGGAAAAAGCUGUAGUAAGAGCCAGAGAGCUGGAGAAGGGAGAUUGGUGACCGGAGGAACAUUCCGGGACUCGUCUUUGGUCAUCUUCUGCAGAGUUUCAGCAGUGACGCUGUUGGGUCGAAUGACGGCUUCGUUGCUUGCCCUGAGGAAUUUUUCCUGUCAUAGAAGUAUUUCUGACCUAAGAAUGCUUUGUUGUGCACUCUGGACUGCUUGUUAAGCAAACAUUCUUAUCUUAGAUCUUGAUAAGAACGUAAGACCGCCACUAACUUCCCUCUUCUGACAUCACAUGUGUGGCUUAAUGUCCAGCAAGGUCAGACAUGCUACUCUUCUCAUAGUUUUAGCUAUUGUUUAUUAAUAUACAGUGCUCAGCAUUUAUAAGUACACCCCCCACAAACCUCUCUUUUAAAUUCAUAUUUCA
Molecule: non-coding RNA, 572 nt
Organism: Danio rerio (zebrafish)
Lineage: Eukaryota; Metazoa; Chordata; Actinopteri; Cypriniformes; Danionidae
Source: RefSeq, a predicted model, not a curated record